RNAcentral lists this long non-coding RNA (372 nucleotides) under Hordeum vulgare. RNAcentral's name for it is "long non-coding RNA (HVUL_LNC001235)". Lineage: Eukaryota; Viridiplantae; Streptophyta; Magnoliopsida; Poales; Poaceae. The record is from RNAcentral.
UUUUUUCCGGAAUAAUGAACUUUGUUUCUCACAUAAAGCAUGCCGUGCGAAAAAGAAAAUUUGUGUUUCACGGUGAAGCACAACUGUCCUUUCGAAAAGUCUUCCAAAAAAUGAAAAGCACAGUUGAUGUACAGUUGUGCGACUUGAAAAAAAACACAGUAGUGCUUCGCGGUGAAUUACAGCUGGCCUUACUUGACCGACCAUAGACCCUGUUCAAUAAGUGAAACACAUUAGCCGUCCGCUCUCCGGGAAAAUAGAAAGCACAUUUGGGCAUCGUGUGAAGUACAGUUAUAAUUUCACGUGAAAAGUGCGGUUCCAAAAAAGGAGGCACGGUUGUGCUUCUUGGUUUCUGUUUUUCUUUUUAGUUUUUCC